GAUGAACGCUGGCGGCGUGCCUAAUACAUGCAAGUCGAACGAAAAGACGUUGAGAUCGCGCCCUUGCCGUUAGCGACGGACGGGUGAGUAACGCAUGGAUGAGUAACCUAUAAGACUCGGGUCAAAUCGAGAGGGAUGAGACAAUACCACAGAAUAUAAUACACCACAACCAUCAAUAGUGCAAGAUAACUUUGUUGUCAGUUAUAGAAGUACCCGCGUCGCAUUAGCUAGUUGGUAAGGUAACGGCUUACCAAGGCGACGAUGCGUAGCCGACCUGAGAGGGUGAUCGGCCACACUGGAACUGAGACACGGUCCAGACUCCUACGGGAGGCAGCAGUAGGGAAUCUUCCGCAAUGGGCGAAAGCCUGACGGAGCAACGCCGCGUGAGUGAUGAAGGUCUUCGGAUCGUAAAACUCUGUUAUUAGGGAAGAACAAAUGUGUAAGUAACUAUGCACGUCUUGACGGUACCUAAUCAGAAAGCCACGGCUAACUACGUG
Molecule: ribosomal RNA, 497 nt
Filed under: uncultured bacterium
Lineage: Bacteria
Description: partial 16S ribosomal RNA
Rfam family: Bacterial small subunit ribosomal RNA
Source: RNAcentral